This 1617-nucleotide long non-coding RNA is filed under the name Gallus gallus (chicken). Its description in RNAcentral is "long non-coding RNA NONGGAT002912". The record is from RNAcentral. Lineage: Eukaryota; Metazoa; Chordata; Aves; Galliformes; Phasianidae.
GAUAAUUAGUAACUAGCCAGGGCCCGCCCGGUGCCACUGGUCUGAAACUACCCCAAGACCUGUACGCAGACUCAGGGAGACGAGAAGGAGACGAGGAUGAGGGGAAGGAAAUGCAUGGAAGGGAGAGAAAAAUUAGCCAGGAAGGCAUCAAAAGGGGAGGACUGGCAGCAGAGACAAGACUGAGGAGAGAAGAGGGAAUAGGUCCAAAGAAUGAGGGAGAGAAAGGUAAGGGAACAAAGGGGGCUAAAAGGUGUAACAGAGCUGGAAGAGGAGAAGAGAAGAAAGAGAGACUGACCCAAAAAGAAGACUGAACUACUGGGAGUGCUUUCCCCACCCAGAUAGGACCUGAUCCAGUGAAUUUACCUCUGUUGGAUGCAGUAGUCACAGCUCCCAGUCUGCCAUCUUCUAUCUCCUAAGUAUUGAUGGAUUCCUUAUGCACCCAGAAGCCUUCUGCCUUGAUCCUGUGCACCCCGCAGACCUGCAGCUGCAGAGGCUUUUAGAACAGCCUGUCUUGAAGCCAGUGAGACUUGAAGACUGUGAAAACAGAAAUGGACGUCAGUUUGUAGGUUGGGACCUCACUGGGUGCUGUGGCUGGAUGGCACGUGGAGCAUCCUGAGCUGAACGUGGAAUCUAUCCAACUACUGGAAAGGAGGUAAGUCUUCUCAAUCACUUCAAUCUAAAGGGCUAACCUAAAGAGCUGUCCGUUCUAAACUAUAUGCACAUAAACAACAAAGAAAACAAGAAAGAAAGAAGCGUUCUUUGAACAACUCCAUCAUCACCUUUACCUUCACUGUAACCCACCAGCCUGUGUUAGUGAGUGGUUUGAGGCUCUGCUCAGUAUUUCAGGUUCUCCAGUGCAGGAAAACUAGUGAUCUUCAUAGUGUUUCUUCAGAGUUCCAAUUUCUGAGCAAUCAGACCGUGCACUCCUAUUUUAUGCACUGACACAACAGAUUGCAAUAUGGUAUUUCGGAGGUUUUUACCACUCCCAUAACAUGCUGCUGGGGGGUGUGAGGUAUUGAGGAUAGCAGAGGCCAAGGUGGGAAGCAGCAAAGCUUUAAGGCUGGAUUUGAGUUUUAGUAGCAGAGCAGGACGUAAAUAGUAGAGUGCCAUAACCCAAACAACAUUGUCCUGUAACCAAAGUGUACCUCACAGAUUUUGUCUUGAGAACGAGUGUUUGAAAGAAAAGGAGUUUGUUUUGCUAUACUCAUUUUCAUUUAUUACCACUGUUUAGGAUGUGUUGAUUUCCUUAAUUGCAACGAUUUGCUGGGCCGUGACUUGAUUCUUAAAUUGCUCAGACUGCUGUGAUUUUGGUGGCUGUGGCAGCACAAAGCUCCUGAAGUUUGGAAACACUGAAUGAUUUUGCUCGUUCUUCUCUUGUUUGCAGUACCUGUUUUUGAAUUUCUUGCUGCAAAAUUGCUUGCUUUUCCUUUUUCCUUAAGUUCAGUGCUUCAGUGAUAAGACACGAGCAGCCCUACUGCACGAAACUGGCCAGAAGUAACAGCAGGCUCAUGAAUAGUGUUUGAUUAACAAAUCGGUGUAGAUGCACAUUUGAGAAACGUAUCGAUUAGUGAUCACGAGAAGUCUGAUUUCUACUUUAUUUUAAUGGCAAACAUAAUA